RNAcentral lists this ribosomal RNA (381 nucleotides) under uncultured bacterium. RNAcentral describes it as "bacterial SSU rRNA". It matches the Rfam family "Bacterial small subunit ribosomal RNA", at positions 28 to 417 of the family's 1533-position model. The record is from RNAcentral.
GACGAACGCUGGCGGCGUGCUUAACACAUGCAAGUCGCACGGGGCCCGCAAGGGUUCAGUGGCGGACGGGUGCGUAACACGUGAGGAACAUGCCCAUCGGUGGGGGAUAGCCGGCCCAACGGCCGGGUAAUACCGCGUACGCUGCUCGGGGCGCAUGCCCUGAGUUGGAAAGCAGCAAUGCGCCGAUGGAGUGCCUCGCGGCCUAUCAGCUAGUUGGUGAGGAACGGCUCACCAAGGCUACGACGGGUAGCUGGUCUGAGAGGAUGAUCAGCCACAUUGGGACUGAAACACGGCCCAGACUCCUACGGGAGGCAGCAGUGGGGAAUAUUGCGCAAUGGCCGAAAGGCUGACGCAGCGACGCCGCGUGUGGGAUGAAGGCCU